ACUCCUACGGGAGGCAGCAGUGGGGAAUAUUGCACAAUGGGCGCAAGCCUGAUGCAGCCAUGCCGCGUGUAUGAAGAAGGCCUUCGGGUUGUAAAGUACUUUCAGCAGUGAGGAAGGCGGGGUACGUUAAUAGCGUGCUCGUUUGACGUUAGCUGCAGAAAGAAGCACCGGGCUAAACUCCGUGCCAGCAGCCGCGGUAAUACGGAGGGUGCGAGCGUUAAUCGGAAUUACUGGGCGUAAAGCGCAUGCAGGUGGUUUGUUAAGUCAGAUGUGAAAGCCGGCU
RNAcentral lists this ribosomal RNA (283 nucleotides) under uncultured bacterium. Its description in RNAcentral is "partial 16S ribosomal RNA". It matches the Rfam family "Bacterial small subunit ribosomal RNA", at positions 335 to 606 of the family's 1533-position model. The record is from RNAcentral.